ACAUACUCUGUUGGAUGUAAGUUCAUAUUAAACAGUAAGGUAUAAUGGCAGUAUUUGGUUGAAUUUGAUUAUCCAAAUUUGUUGGCUAAUGAAAAGAAAACACUGUCUAUUAGACUUUAAUGGACCCUCACUGGGCCUGAGCAUCAGGGAUUUUUGUGAAUUAAUUCCUAUAAUUCUUAGACACAUCGUAUCAACCUGCUAUUUCCAUUAACUGCUUAUGCAAAUAUGAAAGCAUCCUGAGAAGGUUAGUUGAACCAUAAAGCUUGAGGCUGAACUACGUAAUCACACUGCACGAUCUAAAUGUGUCGAGUUAAAACAGCAGCACUCUGUGGUGGAGAUUCUCAAAGUGAUGUAAACAAAAAAAAAAAAAAAAAACCAAAUUAGAGAAAAGUCUGGGUUUUUUUUGGAGCAAACCAGUCCUCAUGAAAUAACUUCUCACCAUGUUGUCCUGUUGCAUAAGGAUGAAACAGGACAUGGCUAAAAAUCCCACUAAUUACCUCCACAUUACUAGCUUUUACUACAGCCAGGCCUCCUGGAGAGCCAGAUAGACAAUCUGUGUCAUGGGGUCAGAGAGGCUGCAUGAAUAAAAACCGUCAGCGUGAAAAAGCUGCCGCUGCUCGUAGAAUCACAAGGUGCAGGCACGGAGGGAGCCUGGGCAUCCACGGGGGAACAAAAUGUAUAAUUUCAUUUUACCGAGAAACGAGGGAGGACAGCUCAGGUUUGACGAGGGGGAAGAAAAGAGCCAAAAGUCAAAACUUGGUGUUUUUUCUUGGUAGCUAAUGGUGUAUGUCAGGUUUAAAUUGAAAACGUGUUUCCAAAACAGGGCCACGCUGGUAAAAGCCUCGGGGAGGAAGCAGGAACAUUAAGACUGCUUUGCUGCCCAUAUUUUAGCGUAAUAUGCCAUAUGGUGCGCUGUUUUUCCUCCUCCAUUACACCCUGAUGAAUACUGAGAUCACUGGAAUGCAUUGGUUAUCCAUGUUUUUGAAACGUUACCCAUUCAUCGAAUUUAAAACGCUUGCUCUUUUAUUAAUCAUUAUC
Astatotilapia calliptera (eastern happy) is the source of this 1038-nucleotide long non-coding RNA. The record is from Ensembl. Lineage: Eukaryota; Metazoa; Chordata; Actinopteri; Cichliformes; Cichlidae.